RNAcentral lists this ribosomal RNA (265 nucleotides) under uncultured prokaryote. Its description in RNAcentral is "partial 16S ribosomal RNA". It matches the Rfam family "Bacterial small subunit ribosomal RNA", at positions 524 to 788 of the family's 1533-position model. The record is from RNAcentral.
UACGUAGGGUGCGAGCGUUGUCCGGAAUUAUUGGGCGUAAAGAGCUUGUAGGCGGUUUGUCGCGUCUGCUGUGAAAAUCCGGGGCUCAACCCCGGACUUGCAGUGGGUACGGGCGGACUAGAGUGUGGUAGGGGAGACUGGAAUUCCUGGUGUAGCGGUGAAAUGCGCAGAUAUCAGGAGGAACACCGAUGGCGAAGGCAGGUCUCUGGGCCACUACUGACGCUGAGAAGCGAAAGCAUGGGGAGCGAACAGGAUUAGAUACCCU